This 370-nucleotide ribosomal RNA is filed under the name uncultured Cupriavidus sp. RNAcentral describes it as "bacterial SSU rRNA". It matches the Rfam family "Bacterial small subunit ribosomal RNA", at positions 29 to 399 of the family's 1533-position model. Lineage: Bacteria; Pseudomonadati; Pseudomonadota; Betaproteobacteria; Burkholderiales; Burkholderiaceae. The record is from RNAcentral.
AUUGAACGCUGGCGGCAUGCCUUACACAUGCAAGUCGAACGGCAGCGCGGACUUCGGUCUGGCGGCGAGUGGCGAACGGGUGAGUAAUACAUCGGAACGUACCCUGUUGUGGGGGAUAACCAGUCGAAAGAUUAGCUAAUACCGCAUACGACCUGGGGGUGAAAGCGGGGGACCGCAAGGCCUCACGCAGCAGGAGCGGCCGAUGUCUGAUUAGCUAGUUGGUGGGGUAAAGGCCCACCAAGGCGACGAUCAGUAGCUGGUCUGAGAGGACGAUCAGCCACACUGGGACUGAGACACGGCCCAGACUCCUACGGGAGGCAGCAGUGGGGAAUUUUUGGACAAUGGGGGCAACCCUGAUCCAGCAAUGCCG